RNAcentral lists this ribosomal RNA (912 nucleotides) under Bacteroidota bacterium. RNAcentral describes it as "bacterial SSU rRNA". It matches the Rfam family "Bacterial small subunit ribosomal RNA", at positions 1 to 905 of the family's 1533-position model. Lineage: Bacteria; Pseudomonadati; Bacteroidota. The record is from RNAcentral.
ACAAUGGAGAGUUUGAUCCUGGCUCAGGAUGAACGCUAGCGGCAGGCUUAAUACAUGCAAGUCGUGGGGCAGCAGGUGUAGCAAUACAUGCUGGCGACCGGCAAACGGGUGCGGAACACGUACGCAACCUUCCUUUAACUGGAGAAUAGCCCCUCGAAAGAGGGAUUAAUACUCCGUAACAUAUUGAUAAGGCAUCUUAUUAAUAUUAUAGCUCCGGCGGUUAAAGAUGGGCGUGCGCCUGAUUAGGUAGUUGGCGGGGUAACGGCCCACCAAGCCUUCGAUCAGUAACUGGUGUGAGAGCACGACCAGUCACACGGGCACUGAGACACGGGCCCGACUCCUACGGGAGGCAGCAGUAAGGAAUAUUGGUCAAUGGACGCAAGUCUGAACCAGCCAUGCCGCGUGGAGGAUUAAGGCCCUCUGGGUUGUAAACUCCUUUUAUCUGGGAAGAAAUGCAUUUUUUCUAAAAUGCUUGACGGUACCAGAGGAAUAAGCACCGGCUAACUCCGUGCCAGCAGCCGCGGUAAUACGGAGGGUGCAAGCGUUAUCCGGAUUCACUGGGUUUAAAGGGUGCGUAGGCGGGUAAGUAAGUCCGUGGUGAAAUCUCUGAGCUUAACUCAGAAACUGCCGUGGAUACUAUUUGCCUUGAAUAUUGUGGAGGUGAGCGGAAUAUGUCAUGUAGCGGUGAAAUGCUUAGAUAUGACAUAGAACACCAAUUGCGAAGGCAGCUCACUACACAAUUAUUGACGCUGAGGCACGAAAGCGUGGGGAUCAAACAGGAUUAGAUACCCCGGUAGUCCACGCUGUAAACGAUGCUCACUAGGUCUUGGGAGGUAUCGACCCCUCUUUGGACCGUAGCUAACGCGUUAAGUGAGCCGCCUGGGGAGUACGAACGCAAGUUUAAAACUCAAA